UACAGAGGUCUCAAGCGUUGUUCGGAUUCAUUGGGCGUAAAGGGUGCGUAGGCGGCGCGGUAAGUCGGGUGUGAAAUCUCGGAGCUUAACUUCGAAACUGCAUUCGAUACUGCCGUGCUUGAGGACUGGAGAGGAGACUGGAAUUUACGGUGUAGCGGUGAAAUGCGUAGAUAUCGUAAGGAAGACCAGUGGCGAAGGCGGGUCUCUGGACAGUACCUGACGCUGAGGCACGAAGGUGAGGGGAGCAAACGGG
Molecule: ribosomal RNA, 253 nt
Filed under: uncultured bacterium
Lineage: Bacteria
Description: partial 16S ribosomal RNA
Rfam family: Bacterial small subunit ribosomal RNA
Source: RNAcentral